Molecule: long non-coding RNA, 1895 nt
Organism: Cyprinus carpio carpio
Lineage: Eukaryota; Metazoa; Chordata; Actinopteri; Cypriniformes; Cyprinidae
Source: Ensembl
CUUCGCUUAAGCUCAGUUCAGCAGAAUGAACGUCUUAGAUGAACUGUUAUUAUAUUUGAUGAGCUUCAGAUCAUUUAUUCUUGUUGAAAGGCUGAAAAGAUCCAGAUGAGAUCAACACGCAGUUUUCUACAGUGACAUGGCUGUUCUGAUCCCAUGUUAGAGCUGUUGAGUGUGGUUACAGUGUUCCAGGUGAUUGCUAGAGUGUUGCUAAAGUAAUCUGGGUGGUUGCCAGGGUGUUGCCAAGUAGUCGCUAUGGUAUUAUAGCUGCUAGGAUGUGGUUGAGUGUGGUUACUGUGUUCCAGGUGAUUGCUAGAGUGUUGCUAAAGUAAUCUGGGUGGUUGCCAGGGUGUUGCCAAGUAGUCGCUAUGGUAUUAUAGUUACUAGGAUGUGGUUGAGUGUGGUUACAGUGUUCCAGGCGAUUGCUAGAGUGUUGCUAAAGUAAUCUGGGUGGUUGCCAGGGUGUUGCCAAUUAGUCGCUAUGGUAUUAUAGCUGCUAGGAUGUGGUUGAGUGUGGUUACGGUGUUCCAGGCGAUUGCUAGAGUGUUGCUAAAGUAAUCUGGGUGGUUGCCAGGGUGUUGCCAAUUAGUCGCUAUGGUAUUAUAGUUGCUAGGAUGUGGUUGAGUGUGGUUACGGUGUUCCAGGUGAUUGCUAGAGUGUUGCUAAAGUAAUCUGGGGGUUGCUAUGGUGUUGCUAAGUGGUCACUAUGGUGUUAUAGUUGUUAGAGCGUUGCUAUGAUGUUGUGUUGUUACAUUGUUCCAUGUGGUUGCCAGGGUGUUGCUAAGUUCCUUAAAUGCUAAAAUACACAUCAACAUUCAACGAAUCAAAUGAAAUACAUUUUUAAUAUUUAUUAUUGCUAAAUGUAUUUACAGUUCAAACUCCCACAUUACAUAGCAAUGCUAAUUAAACCGAUCUUUGAUAUGUACAAAGUUCUCGCUAGCUUUUCCACAUAAAAGCUGAAUAUUAAGGGCACUUUAGUCGUCUGCUGUAGUUCAAACGUCGGAUAUUUGGUUCUUUACUCCGCAGUGACUGAAUAUUCAAACUGACCCAAUGAAAAUGGACCAAUUCAUGUGUAAAACCAGACUGGAAUCCAGCGUUUCAGUGUUGAGAUGAGACCAGACAGAUGAUAAACUCCUUUGAUGUUUGCACACUUCUGUUCUGAAGCCACAUGACAAACAUCCAAACCACACGAGAGAAUCUGAUGAAAGCUGCACUGAGAAAUUGUGUUAUGAAUAUAAUGCAAUAAAGCAUUAUAAUGCAUAAUUUUAAUUAUACAAUUUCGUAGUGCUGAUAUUACUUUUUUUAUAUAUUUUUAUUAUAUAUAAAAUAAUUCCAUAAUUGUUUUUUUUUUUGCAUUGUGAAGUAUUAUAAUAUAUUAUUAUAAUAAAUAUUAAUAUAAUAAAUUCCAAUGCAAAAAAUAAUAAUGGUCUAAAAAUGUGAUGAGAAAUAUGAUCUAGACAUGUUCUUGACAAAUUUCGUACAUUUCUCCCAACAAAACUAAUGUGACGAUUGGUUUUAAAUCUGCUCUGAGAGUCUGUGUAUGACUGAGAGCUUUUAAGGAAACCAAACAGAUCUCUGUCCAAAUGACAGAGUGUGAUUAUUUUAUACUGGAAUGAAAACUUCUGCACGUGUGCUUGACGUUGAAGAUGAUUUGAUGGAACAGAACAGAAAUCCACAGAAAAACCUCCGCGUUUUAAAAAUAACUUUAGAAUAAUUAACAUUUGAGCGUCUCAAAUACAUAAACAUCCAUUAAAGACGCACAACUGAACACAGAACAAAUGAGACCAUUUAUCACCACAAAAACAAACAAAAAAACUAAUAUAUUUAUAUAUAUAUAUAUAUAUAUAUAUAUAUAAUUAGUUUUUAUACAUGAAAUAUAUAGAAAAGUAUGUGUAUGC